UAUUGCACAAUGGGCGCAAGCCUGAUGCAGCCAUGCCGCGUGUGUGAAGAAGGCCUUCGAGUUGUAAAGCACUUUCAGUCAGGAGGAAAGGUUAGUAGUUAAUACCUGCUAGCUGUGACGUUACUGACAGAAGAAGCACCGGCUAACUCCGUGCCAGCAGCCGCGGUAAUACGGAGGGUGCGAGCGUUAAUCGGAAUUACUGGGCGUAAAGCGUACGCAGGCGGUUUGUUAAGCGAGAUGUGAAAGCCCCGGGCUCAACCUGGGAACUGCAUUUCGAACUGGCAAACUAGAGUGUGAUAGAGGGUGGUAGAAUUUCAGGUGUAGCGGUGAAAUGCGUAGAGAUCUGAAGGAAUACCGAUGGCGAAGGCAGCCACCUGGGUCAACACUGACGCUCAUUACGAAA
Molecule: ribosomal RNA, 403 nt
Filed under: uncultured bacterium
Lineage: Bacteria
Description: bacterial SSU rRNA
Rfam family: Bacterial small subunit ribosomal RNA
Source: RNAcentral